CAAUUAAAGAUAAAUUUUCUUUAUUGUGUAUCGAGGCAAAAUGCUUUUGCUGCAGUAAUAUAGGUAUUUGCAAUAAAUCUUUCAGGCUUAAAUUAUUGGCUUCUGUUUCCCACAUUUAAACAAACUCACAAUCUCACAAAGUAUUGUUCUCUUAAGAUAAUUCUGUUAACAAAAAAGGAAUAUUAAUUUGACAUAUCCUUUUUUGAAGUGUUACCUUUGCCCUGGGUUUUCAUACCAUAUUCUAGAAGGUAUAAUAUAGUCAAGAAUGCUUUGAACAAGUGAAACUAUAAUCCUGCCAAAUGUAAAGUCAGCAUAUAUUUUAAAUUUUCUUUCAUAAUCAACAGUAUCACAUGCAACCGGGAACAAAAGCUGCAGGGAACAAAGUGUAAUGGAUCGUGAUGACUGUUUUAGAACAGCUUGAACCUCCUUACAGCCUACAAGAAGGCUAUGUGAGCUGAAUUCAGAAGUGCUGAAAAUGGAUUUUACUGCAAGCUACACAGUUUCGGGGACAAAUAUGCUUUUUUUCAAAUAUGCUUUUUUAUAACUUAUAACUAUAGGAAGAUUCUCAAGCAAAAGGAUCAUAUCAUGCCAAUGAAAAGAUGGUUUAUUCCCUCACAUCCUUCCAUUUUAUGUAUUUUUUUAAUACAAAGCACACACAUAAUUACACACAGAAUGAUUUCUAAAUCAAUAUGUUUUGUUCCAAUUGCUCACCAUUAAUGCAAUAAAUUGCAUUUUCUGUCAUUUUACUAUGUGCUCUUGUUCCUGAGUGGUGUGAAGGGAAUUAUUACUGUUAUAGCAAAUAAAUUAGAUUUCAAUGCUUUGAGGCAAAACAGAGGUCAAAGAGUGAUUUUGGAUUCAUUGUCUCCAUCUUCUAAAUGUAUCAUACUUACAUUUGAAAUAACUGUAUUAAGCACAGAAAGGAGGAAAGAAAACAGUAUGACUCUUUUAAAGAGAAAAUCCAAUGUGUUUCUGAUUAUUGGGUGGGGAGUGCUCUUUGCUGCUUCUAGGUGAAGAGUCAGAUCCUAGGCAUGCCUCAGGCACAUAUGAGCUAAAGCCAGGAAGAACAAAGGGAACUGGGGCCAAGACUUCUCUCUAUAUACCCUGCUAGAUAAUAUUCUUUGCAGCCAAAGAUGGAGAAGCUCUAUACAGUCAACAAAAACAAGACCAGGAGAUGACUGUCGCUCAGAUCAUGAACUCCUUAUUACCAAAUUCAGACUUAAAUUGAAGAAAGUAGGGAAAACUGCUAGACCAUUCAGGUAUGACCUAAAUCAAAUCCCUUAUGAUUAUACGGUGGAAGUGAGAAACAGAUUUAAGGGCCUAG
RNAcentral lists this long non-coding RNA (1321 nucleotides) under Ovis aries (sheep). RNAcentral describes it as "lncRNA (ENSOARG00000026686.1)". Lineage: Eukaryota; Metazoa; Chordata; Mammalia; Artiodactyla; Bovidae. The record is from RNAcentral.